This 1098-nucleotide non-coding RNA is filed under the name Capsicum annuum. RNAcentral describes it as "Eukaryotic large subunit ribosomal RNA". It matches the Rfam family "Eukaryotic large subunit ribosomal RNA", at positions 2118 to 3399 of the family's 3401-position model. Lineage: Eukaryota; Viridiplantae; Streptophyta; Magnoliopsida; Solanales; Solanaceae. The record is from Rfam by way of RNAcentral.
AAUGCACCAAUGCACCAAGGCACCAAGGCACCGUGGCACUGUGGCACUAUCCCUAUCUACUAUCCAGCAAAACCACAUCCAAGGGAAUAAGCUUGGAAGAAUCAUCGAGUAAAGAAGACCUUCUUGAGCUUGACUCUACUCCGACUUUGUAAAAUGACUUGAGAGGUGUAGUAUAAGUGGGAGACGAAAGGCAAAAGUGAAAUACCACUACUUUUAACUUUAUUUUACUUAUUUCAUAAAUCUAAAGUGGAGCACUACCCCUCUUUUUGGACCCAAGGCUUGCUCUACGAGCCGAUCUACGCGGAAGACAUUGUCAGGUGGGGAGUUUGGCUAGAGUGGCACAUUUUUUAAAAGAUAAUGCAGGUAUUCCAAGAUGAGCUCAACGAGACCAGAAAUAUCAUGUGGAACCAAAGGGUAAAAACUCAUUGAUUCUGAUUUCUAGUACGAAUACAAACCAUGAAAGCGUGGCCUAACGAUCCUUUAGACCUUCGAAAUUCAAAGCUAGAGGUGUCAGAAAAGUGUUACCACAGGGAUAACUGGCCUAUUGCAGCCAAGCAUUCAUAGCGACGUUGCUUUUUCAUCCUUUAAUGUUGGCUCUUCCUAUCAUUGUGAAGCGAAAUUCACCAAGUGUUAGACUGUUCACCCACCAAUAGGGAAUGUGAGUUAGGUUUAGACCGUUGUGAGAUAGGUUAGUUUUACCCUACUUAUGACAGUGUCGUAGUAGUAAUUCAACCUAGUAUGAGAGGAAAUGUUGAUUCACACAAUUUGUCAUCGCGCUUGGUUGACAAACAAUUAGCGCAAAGCUACCGUGUGCUGGAUUAUGACUGAACAACUCUUAGUCAGAAGCUGGUCUAGAAACAAUGCAUGCACCCGCUAUCCGCAUACCGACCCACAGUAGGAGCCUUGGCCCCCAAGGGCACAUGUCAUUUGCUAAGCCACUGCGGCGGAAGUCGCGGUGGCCGCCUGGAAGUACAAUAUCCAUCGAACGUUGGGUAGAUUCCUUUGCAGAUGACUUAAAUAUGCGACGGGGUAUUUUAAGUAGAAGAAUGGCCUUGCUGCCACGAUCCACUGAGAUUCAUUCCUUUGUCGCUCUAGUUC